Molecule: unclassified non-coding RNA, 331 nt
Filed under: Ascomycota sp.
Lineage: Eukaryota; Fungi; Ascomycota
Description: partial contains small subunit ribosomal RNA, internal transcribed spacer 1, and 5.8S ribosomal RNA
Rfam family: Eukaryotic small subunit ribosomal RNA (bases 1-47)
Source: RNAcentral
AAAGUCGUAACAAGGUUUCCGUAGGUGAACCUGCGGAAGGAUCAUUACCAAAAGAAAAAAAACCCCCCCUUUUGAAAAUUUUCGAGUACUUGUUGGAGUUUUUACUUCAGAAAAAGGCUCGAUUAUUUUCUUCGACACCUUGUGAACUCAAUGUAUUGUCCUUGGGGGUUGGUCGGGAGAAAUCCUCAAAAACCCCCAAAAGUUUUUCCUUGAUUCGUCUUUGGACGAGGAUAGGCAACGACUUAUAUAACCAAACACAAUCUCAACCAUUGAUGGAAACUUUUUUGAUGAAAAUCAUAAACAACUUUUAACGGUGGAUCUCUUGGCUCGU